Molecule: ribosomal RNA, 465 nt
Filed under: uncultured bacterium
Lineage: Bacteria
Description: partial 16S ribosomal RNA
Rfam family: Bacterial small subunit ribosomal RNA
Source: RNAcentral
CCUACGGGUGGCAGCAGUGGGGAAUAUUGCGCAAUGCUCGUGAGAGUGACGCAGCGAAGCCGCGUGAAUGACGACGGCCUUCCGGUCGUAAAGUUCUUUCGACAGGGGAGAAAAUGCCUCUACGUAACUGUGUAUGUGUUGACGGUACCUGAAUAAGCAGCCCCGGCUAACUCCGUGCCCGCAGCCGCGGUAAUACGGAGGGGGCGAGCGUUGUUCGGAGUGACUGGGCGUAAAGGGGACGUAGGCGGUGGUGUAAGUCAUUAGUUAAAGAGUAGAGCUCAACUUUAGUAAGGCUAGUGAUACUAUAAUACUAGAGUAUCAGAGAGGAUUGCAGAAUGCCUGGUGUAGCGGUGAAAUGCGUAGAUAUCAGGAAGAAUACCGUUAGCGAAGGCAGCAAUCUGGCUGGAAACUGACGCUGAGGUGCGAAAGCGUGGGUAGCAAACAGGAUUAGAUACCCUAGUAGUC